Glossina fuscipes is the source of this 1924-nucleotide long non-coding RNA. RefSeq lists it as uncharacterized. Lineage: Eukaryota; Metazoa; Arthropoda; Insecta; Diptera; Glossinidae. The record is from RefSeq and is a predicted model, not a curated record. The transcript is spliced from 2 exons.
AAAACACUUUUACUAAUUAAAUGAAGAAGCGAACAUGAAAAAAAAAAAAAAAAACAAAAAUAACAAAAAUAUCGAACGCAGUAAGUGAAGCUCUUGAUGAAGAAAAUCCCAUUUAAUAUACUUGAUGACAAAUCCCAUUUAUGUAUACGUAUAUGUUGGACGAUCGAUAUUCGAUGAAUUUUGUAAAAUUCCAUUUGUUCUUUAAAUUCAAUUAUAAUAUAAUGUAUGUUCUUGUUUUUGUAUUGGUACACUUGCUUCCUUCCACUGUAUGCUUCAAUUUAUAAGUAAACUGAAUGAAUAUGACUUAUCUUAAAGUUGGUCGUCAGAAAUAUUAGAAGAAUUGUGAUUUCCAGUUAACAUUUUGCCCUCACUGCUACUCAGUAAAGCUAGUAGUAGUAGUAAAGUCUUUUCAUAAUUCCUUUCGCCAGACGGCCACGCCAUACAUGCAAGCUUGCAUGCAUACAUAUUGUGUUUAGCCAAUAGUUGAAGAAAAAGUUGUAGCGAAAUCUGGAAUAUAGGCGUGAUACGAUUUGAUGCUACGAUUAGAAACACUUAGCAAUCGUUCGAGCUGGUAAAAACAAUCCUUAUUGCAAUUCCCCAAUUGAAAACGUCUAUUCGAGAAACGAAAAUGAACUCUUUUUUUUUUUUUCAGUUUCUUCCAUCACCCAAUUGAAUUUCCAUUUAAGAUUUCUACUCAUUUUCUAAAGACAUAGAUCAUUUUUGUACUGCUCUACUACACAUGCGUGCAAGCGGGCGGCGAAAAAGAACUAAAGUAUUUUUACAAAAAGAAUUACUCCCAAGUAAUUUACCAUAAAAAAAAAAAAAAAAAAAAUAUCCAUAUACGUGUAUACCCUCUCCAUUCAUAUGUUCUGUUAAUCUUAUAGUUAGAUAUCUGAAAUUUCCUGUGCACAGCACAGUUUUCGCUGACACAUUCAUGCUCAAGACAACCGAACAAAUUGUCUACCAUAAGUCAAAUAAUAAAUUAAUAUCGCGUAAACAGUUAAUCUGUUAGUUAGUCUCUACAGUUCUGUCGGCAAAUGCUUAUGCGAUUUGUAAAUCCUUUCUUAAUCGAAUCGAAACAAACUCAAAAGGAACCCCAAAGAUUUGCGCCCUAUCUAUAUCAUUCAAUAUAAACUUUCCUCUUCUUUUGUUUCUUACCGCCGUAGACUGUAUCACAAUACGAGUCGGUUUUUUUUUAACAAGAAUUUCAAUUAUAAAAUAAACAUAAUGUUAAGAGCAAAUGUACCAGAAUAACAUCAAAAAGAUAUGAAUUGUAUACAUUAUUCGGAAAUUGAAAAAUUCCGCGAAAUUUCUCACCAGAUCCUCAUACAUACAUAGUGUCAUCAAUUAUCUUCCAACUUGUUUCAUCAAAAAAGAAGACGAAGAAGAAAAAGAAAAACUCAUUUUGCCAAAGUCAUUAGUUAUUGGUUUGUUGUUGAAUUUUGGAAUUUUUUUUUUUUAAAUUUUCAACCUUUAAAAUGUAACAAAAGAGAAAAUAAAUCCUUUAACUUUAUUGCAAUGAAUUAAAAGCAUCCCAAUAUCGCUGAUAUGAAAAGAAAUAAAUAAAUAAAUAAAUAAAUAAAUAAAAACAAAAAAUAGAAAAGUUUUAAAAAAUUUAUAAAUUGAUAAAUUUUUUUUUUUUUUUGAGACUAUAUAUCCACUUAAAGAAAACUCGGUAAAAUUGUUAAUUAAUUGAUUAUUCAGAGAAUCUUAAGAUUAAGAUAUCAAGAGAAAUCAAUUUCAUUUUGUUUAACAUUCUAUAAUUAUAUCCUUUAAAAUCCUUGUAUUAAUAUUCUCUCUGCCGUUAUUCCACUUGGCUAAUAUCGAACAGUUAUGUUUACCGCUUUUACGAAUUGUGUUUUGUUAUUACUGUACAGAGCUUCAACACCCGGAAAUAUUUUUUUUUUAAGAAAAAAAAAAAAAA